AACGAACGCUGGCGGCAUGCCUAACACAUGCAAGUCGAACGAGACCUUCGGGUCUAGUGGCGCACGGGUGCGUAACGCGUGGGAACCUGCCCUUAGGUUCGGAAUAACCCCCCGAAAGGGGUGCUAAUACCGGAUAAUGUCUUCGGCCCAAAGAUUUAUCGCCUUUGGAUGGGCCCGCGUUGGAUUAGCUAGUUGGUAGGGUAAAAGCCUACCACGGCGACGAUCCAUAGCUGGUCUGAGAGGAUGAUCAGCCACACUGGGACUGAGACACGGCCCAGACUCCUACGGGAGGCAGCAGUGGGGAAUAUUGGACAAUGGGCGAAAGCAUGAUCCAGCAAUGCCGCGUGAGUGAUGAAGGCCUUAGGGUUGUAAAGCUCUUUUACCCGGGAUGAUAAUGACAGUACCGGGAGAAUAAGCUCCGGCUAACUCCGUG
This 433-nucleotide ribosomal RNA is filed under the name uncultured bacterium. RNAcentral's name for it is "partial 16S ribosomal RNA". It matches the Rfam family "Bacterial small subunit ribosomal RNA", at positions 29 to 507 of the family's 1533-position model. The record is from RNAcentral.